Non-coding RNA from Triticum urartu, 272 nucleotides. Lineage: Eukaryota; Viridiplantae; Streptophyta; Magnoliopsida; Poales; Poaceae. The record is from RefSeq and is a predicted model, not a curated record.
GUUAUUGGUAAAAACAUUGAGCCAUAAUUUUGAAGAUCUAAACGAGCUUCCACGUGAGGCUGUUUUGGCGUUCAUUAGUUGUGCAUUUGAGCGGACAGAUACUAAUCUUGAGUCGGUAUUGGAACUACUUGCAAUUUUUGAGGGCUGCCACUGCUGAAAAAGUGCAUUCUCUAGAGUUAAUUGGAGGAAUUUUCAAAUUUGUGGAGGCAUCUCUGGACAAGGCUGAAAAUCUUGACACCUUUGAGGAAUUGUAUGUUGUCCCUCUCAUGGAU